GCUCCUUGGCCUCCCGUUGCACACCUGCCUACAGACGACUAUCAGACUAGCUAGUGAGAUUUAUGCUAAGCCUUUGCAGCACAAAGGUCAAGUGGUUGUACGAUAAGUUGGGUUAGGCAAGAUGACACAUCAACUCAGUCCUUAAUCAACACAAGGCAGAUAUCUUCCAUACUCAGCCACACAGGCACGAGCCAAUACUCCAAGGCAUCCCACACAAGGAACCCUGAUCCCCCAAUCUAAAUAAACACCAACACUAAGCUGUUUAUUAUUACUUUUCCAAAAUUCCAAUCCACACUCGCACCAACACACUC
RNAcentral lists this long non-coding RNA (311 nucleotides) under Setaria viridis. Its description in RNAcentral is "long non-coding RNA (SVIR_LNC006000)". The record is from RNAcentral. Lineage: Eukaryota; Viridiplantae; Streptophyta; Magnoliopsida; Poales; Poaceae.